This 479-nucleotide ribosomal RNA is filed under the name uncultured bacterium. RNAcentral describes it as "partial 16S ribosomal RNA". It matches the Rfam family "Bacterial small subunit ribosomal RNA", at positions 28 to 507 of the family's 1533-position model. The record is from RNAcentral.
GAUGAACGCUAGCGGCAGGCCUAACACAUGCAAGUCGAGCGGUAUUUGUUAUUCUGAACAGGGAGAGCGGCGCACGGGUGCGGAACACGCGUGCAACUUGCCUUUAUCUGGGGGAUAGCCUUUCGAAAGGAAGAUUAAUACCCCAUAAUAUAUUGAGUGGCAUCAUUUGAUAUUGAAGACUCCGGUGGAUAGAGAUGGGCACGCGCAAGAUUAGAUAGUUGGUGAGGUAACGGCUCACCAAGUCAAUGAUCUUUAGGUGGCCUGAGAGGGUGAUCCCCCAGAGUGGUACUGAGACACGGACCAGAGUGCUAAGGGACGGAGGAGUAAGGUAUAUUGGAGGAGGGGUUAGGGUCUGAUCCAGCCAUGCCGGGUGAAGGACGACGGCGCUAUGGGUUGUAUACUUCUUUUGUGUAGGGAUAGACCUUUUAUACGGAGAGUAGCUGACGGUACUAUAAGAAUAAGCACCGGCUAACUCCGUG